UAUAGCCCACAUGCACUACCUUGACAUGGCUGUCAUACUCGAUGGAGAACGGUUAACCAUGGUAUACCAAGGACUGACCUAUCAGGCGAUCCUUAUCCCAAGAUGUUCGCACGACCCACCCGCACAUAAAGCCGCAGCCUUUAGCUAUUAUUUUAAAAGAGCCUACACAUACAUAUCUGAUAAUCAGCUGCUCCUAGAAGAACUCGGUUACAUUUAUAAUAUAGACCGCUCCCAUGGAUGCACGAACACAUCUAUAGGUGGGGUCCACCGUAGGGUGGGGAGGGACCUCCCCAGCGGGAACUGCCCC
RNAcentral lists this long non-coding RNA (307 nucleotides) under Androctonus crassicauda. The record is from RNAcentral. Lineage: Eukaryota; Metazoa; Arthropoda; Arachnida; Scorpiones; Buthidae.